RNAcentral lists this ribosomal RNA (459 nucleotides) under uncultured bacterium. RNAcentral describes it as "bacterial SSU rRNA". It matches the Rfam family "Bacterial small subunit ribosomal RNA", at positions 28 to 507 of the family's 1533-position model. The record is from RNAcentral.
GACGAACGCUGGCGGCGUGCUUAACACAUGCAAGUCGAACGGAAAGGCCCUUCGGGGUACUCGAGUGGCGAACGGGUGAGUAACACGUGGGUGACCUGCCUUGAAGUGGGGGAUAACCAUUAGAAAUGAUGGCUAAUACCGCAUGACGUUGUUGGAUUGGGAAAUCUGGCAACCAAAGUUGAGGCGCUUUGAGAGGGGCCUACGGCCGAUUAGCUAGUUGGUGGGGUAAAGGCCUACCAAGGCGAUGAUCGGUAGCUGGUCUGAGAGGACGAUCAGCCACACGGGAACUGAGACACGGUCCCGACUCCUACGGGGGGCAGCAGUGAGGAAUAUUCGGCAAUGGGGGAAACCCUGACCGAGCAACGCCGCGUGGAGGAAGACGGUUUUCGGAUUGUAAACUCCUUUUCUGUGGGAGGAGCAAGGACGGUACCACAGGAAUCAGUCACGGCUAACUACGUG